RNAcentral lists this ribosomal RNA (856 nucleotides) under uncultured bacterium. RNAcentral's name for it is "bacterial SSU rRNA". It matches the Rfam family "Bacterial small subunit ribosomal RNA", at positions 8 to 890 of the family's 1533-position model. The record is from RNAcentral.
AGAGUAUGAUCAUGGCUCAGCCUGAACGCUGGCGGCGUGGCUAAGACGUGCAAGUCGAACGGGUGUAGCAGUACACCAGUGGCGAACGGGUGAGUAAUGUAUCGCUAACGUACCCCGGACUCCGGGAUAGCUGCUCGAAAGGGCAGGUAAUACCGGAUGACAUGGCCUGGUCGCAUGACCAGGCCCUCAAAGGUCCGCCGGUCUGGGAGCGGGCGAUAUCGUAUCAGCUAGUUGGUAGGGUAACGGCCUACCAAGGCGACGACGCGUAGCCGGGCUGAGAGGUCGGCCGGCCACAUUGGGACUGAGACACUGCCCAGACUCCUACGGGGGGCUGCAGUAACGAAUCUUCCGCAAUGCACGAAAGUGUGACGGAGCGACGCCGCGUGUGGGACGAAGUUCUUCGGAAUGUAAACCACUGUCAGGGGUUAGAAAGUUCUGAUCAACCCCAGAGGAAGGCACGGCUAACUCUGUGCCAGCAGCCGCGGUAAUACAGAGGUGCCAAGCGUUAGGCGGAAUCACUGGGCUUAAAGCGUGUGUAGGCGGACUUCUAAGUGCCUUGUGAAAUCCCACGGCUCAACCGUGGAACUGCUUGGUAUACUGGGAGUCUUGAGCCACCUAGAGGCGAGCGGAACAAAUGGUGGAGCGGUGAAAUGCGUAGAUAUCAUUUGGAACGCCAAUGGUGAAAACAGCUCGCUGGGGGUGCGCUGACGCUGAGACACGAAAGCUAGGGGAGCAAACGGGAUUAGAUACCCCGGUAGUCCUGGCCGUAAACGAUGUCGACUAGAUCGCAGUGCCUCUGACGGUAUUGCGGUCGAAGCAAAAGUGCUAAGUCGACCGCCUGGGAAGUACGGUCGCA